RNAcentral lists this long non-coding RNA (598 nucleotides) under Olea europaea subsp. europaea. Lineage: Eukaryota; Viridiplantae; Streptophyta; Magnoliopsida; Lamiales; Oleaceae. The record is from RNAcentral.
CUUGCAAUGAAAUUUCAAAACUUGAACUUGUCAGGAGACCCAAAUUUACAUGUAGAUUUCAUUUCCCACUGGAUACGAAAUAAUGCAAAAGAAGAGUUCCACAUUGUGUGAUCUAGAGGAGCUAUUACAGACAUCCGAUAAAGAGAAGAAAGAAAAAACUAAAAUCUUAUAUUAUCCAAAGAAAUGUACACUAGGACUAUGAUGCCCAGACUUAAGUAUGGAUAUCAGAUAUGGUUACGUAUUCAAGUGUCGGAAUUUUAUUUUCUAAAAUAUAGGACACGAAAAUAUGACUAUAAAAAGUCUAAAUUUUGGAUAGAGUAUGUGAGUAUAUCUUUCAAACUUCAAUUUUUUUAUUAACUCAAGAUGUUAUUUUGAAUAGACCAAAACCAAUUGUCCACAAAGAAGGAAAUAUUAUUGAAUAAGGAGUUAAGACGAAUAAAAUGAAAUUUUGUGAUUUAAGUUUCAAUUAUGAGAAAUUAAUUACUAAAUGUUAUAUAAAAUAGAAAAUGAGGGACUUGAUUACAAUUUGAAUCUAAGUAGUGUCAUAUGAAAUCUAUUUUCAUUUUAUAUAAACAAAACCUUAAACCAUCGAUAAAGA